GUUAGGGUGGCAGAGCUCGGCGAUUGCAUAAAACUUAAACCUUUAUACUCAGAGGUUCAAAUCCUCUCCCUAACA
This 75-nucleotide transfer RNA is filed under the name Melursus ursinus (sloth bear). Its description in RNAcentral is "transfer RNA-Leu". It matches the Rfam family "tRNA". From Rfam's summary of the family: Transfer RNA (tRNA) molecules are approximately 80 nucleotides in length. Their secondary structure includes four short double-helical elements and three loops (D, anti-codon, and T loops). Further hydrogen bonds mediate the characteristic L-shaped molecular structure. tRNAs have two regions of fundamental functional importance: the anti-codon, which is responsible for specific mRNA codon recognition, and the 3' end, to which the tRNAs corresponding amino acid is attached (by aminoacyl-tRNA synthetases). tRNAs cope with the degeneracy of the genetic code in two manners: having more than one tRNA (with a specific anti-codon) for a particular amino acid; and 'wobble' base-pairing, i.e. permitting non-standard base-pairing at the 3rd anti-codon position. The record is from RNAcentral. Lineage: Eukaryota; Metazoa; Chordata; Mammalia; Carnivora; Ursidae.